ACCCUCACACACCCCCCUGCGCACGUGCCAGUCCUAAACAAAACGUACACACACACUUUUUCUGGUUUCAAAAGCACCCCAUGCAGAGACACACACACCCCUUUUUUGUUUUGUUUUGAAACACACACACACAAUUACCCUCCCUCACACGCACACACCCCCCUGCGCACGCACACGUCUUUCCGGAAUUCCUUUUUUCUCAAGCGCUGCCUGGGGAUGGCUCGAAAAUGCAUAGCCCCUAACUUUAAAGGGUUGUCACUGAACCCCAACCGCCGUCUGUGUCCAACUCCCCAGCGUCAAGACUCGCCCUCCUGGUUUUGACGCUUGCGUGUCCUGAUGCCGAAUCUGCCUGCCUGACCACUCUGCCUGUUCUGACCUCGAGCUUGCCUAUCCCCUUGUACUGUUUGGACUCGGACCUGUUCACUGAACCCCUGCCUGUCCUGACCUCGAGCCUGCCUAUCCCCUGGUACUGUUUGGACUCUGACCUGGUUUAUGAACGCUCGCCUGUCCCCGACCUGCCUUUUGCCUACCCCUUUUGGUGUAAUAAAUAUCGGAGCUCAACCAUCUGCCUCCUGUGUCUGCAUUUGGGUCUCGCCUUGUGCCCUUAUAGUACGAACUGGCCAUGACAGACCCAGCAGACUGGGACCAGCUCCGUCACGCUGUCUCCCUGCAGGAAGCCACCAUUGGGAGGCAUGAGGAGCUACUCCUGGACCUUUUGGAAGGGCUUCGUUCCCUGACGGAACGCCACGACCAAGGGUUCAAGGCUAUAAUGGAGCAAAUCAGUGAGUUAGCUCAUAGGCAGCCCGCCACCUCUGAGACCUCCCAACCACCCAGUAACCUUUCUACUACUAGUGGAUUUGUUCAACCUACCCUGGAUCCUCGAGAACCCCUCUUACCUCCUCCGGAGCAUUAUGCAGGCAAUCCUGGUACCUGCUGGGCGUUCCUUUCCUAGUGCUCCCUCAUUUUCAAACUCUAGCCCUCUUCAUUCCUGUCGGACCGAUCGAAGAUAGCGUAUUUAAUCACGCUCAGUGGGAGCAGCAAUCCACUGUGUGCCAUAGCCUGAAGGAAUUCAUGGCAGAAGUGAAGGUUUUCAAUUCUCCGGUGCCUUGGAGUGAGGUGGCUCGAAAACUACUGCGACUACAAGCUCCCAGCUCGGGAAAUACCACGGGACCUCGAUUCUCUCAUCGCCCUGGCGAUUAGGAUUGAUGGGCGCCUACGAGAACACCGGUGUGAGAGGAUGUCGGGUCUCGGAAACACUCGUACGUCUGCUGAUGCUGGUGCCCAUCCGAAGGAAUCUGGAAAUCCCCGAAGUUGGAAUUUCCGAGGAGAGCUGAAAACACCCGAGGUUCCCAGAGAAUCAUCGGCGACGGAUAUGGAAAGCUGUGAAAGCCUGUUUGCAGAUGAAGAGAGUGUUCUAAUGAAUGUCCCAAGAGACUAAUGGCACAUUUUCAUAUCAGAUUUACCCGAGUGUUUUACUCAAAAGGCUCAGACUUUUCUGCUUCCAUCUACGAGGCCUGGCACCCGUUUCUUAGUGGGCCAUGGCUCCGGCAGACCUGCUCUCCCUUGGGUCCAAAGCCAGGCCACUGGUACUUUUGAGCUGGCAUUUACACAACAAUGACUAACUGUGAACUUGAACACCUUCUGACAAAGCAACUGUGUAUACAACAUUUGCUAACAUCGUGUAGGCCUACCUAUAUGUUAGCACAUGUUGUACACAAAAACAAAGUUAAACAUCACACACAAUGUCUAAACCUAUUACAAUUGGAGCAGGCCAACCAUGCUGGAGGUCUGCUGGGUGUGCAGGGUUCUCUUUCAGCCAAGCAACAACACAUCCGAUGUAACUUAUCAAACCUAAUGAGUUGAUAAUCAAGUGUGCUAUUGCUGGGCUGGAACAGAAUCUCUGCUCACCCAGUAGAUCAGGAAUCUUGCUUACCUGAAAUUAUGCUUUAGUAAUAAUAGCCUACUUGUUACUACUCGAUGAUCUACUAUUGUUUAGACAUACAAGUUAGCUUAUUUGUAAAUGUUUUGUUGAUGGUGUUGAUUCUUUGAAGUGAAGUGUUUAAACUUGUUUUAAUUGUUAAACUGUUCAAAAUGAACUAGUGCCAAUGUUGCUGCCAUAAAGAGGGGAAGGGAUUCUGUCUCUAAUGCGUCUGUGUUUUUCUCUAAUGAACAUGUCCUUUUUGUCUUGUAAGAUCUCCAAUCUGUUUUAUUUGAUUGUCACUCUGUCUCAGUAUAUCGGCUAUCUGAAUCCAUUUUG
RNAcentral lists this long non-coding RNA (2257 nucleotides) under Salmo salar (Atlantic salmon). RNAcentral describes it as "lncRNA (ENSSSAG00000111704.1)". The record is from RNAcentral. Lineage: Eukaryota; Metazoa; Chordata; Actinopteri; Salmoniformes; Salmonidae.